AUGGGGUAGAGACGCUAGGCCGGCACUGCCUAGGUGGGCCGGGCGGUGCGAGGGUCGCCUUUCAGCCUUUACCUCUACCCACUGAAAUGGAGUAGGUCGGUGAGCGCCGAUCUGCUGGAGAAUCUCAUUAUCCCAUCGGCGCUCUGCCUGCUCCUGGCCUCCAAGCCUCUGAAGCCCCUCGGGUUUCAGCUGCCGGCUACCCUCGAGCCCGUGGUGCCCACGAGAGAGGCGACUUUACGUCAGCGGCCCUGGGCUGAGAUUUGAGAACGCGACCAAGUGGAGAAUGUUGGAGCCAGAUUUUAAAAUCCUUGUCUUCCUUCUGCGUGCUACUUGAUCUAAAUGAGAUACGGCAAAGUCACAGAACCUGUUUUUAUGUUUUUGCCUGAUUCAUACGGGCUUCUCCGGUGAAGAUGGGCCUGAAGUAACGCUUGGGUUGCUUCUGACGUUAUAACUCAUCCUGUAGCUGCAGCAACCGUGGUCCUUGCAACCUCAUAAAAAUGUUGCCAGCAUUGUUUCGAUAGUGCUGCUUAAUUCUUGGAAGGUUCUUCGGACUUCACACAUUCCAGCAGUAGCUCUCUCAGCUCCUGUCCUGCACAGCUUUGAAGUGCUGCACCGCCUGAGAUGUGAUGGUGAGCUGAGCUGUACCUGAAUCCUGAGCUGCCCAGCCCAGGCAGGAAGCACACUGGCGAUCUCUUUCCAUCGGGGGGCAGCUGCCCUAGGCUGGAAGUAUUUUAGCUCUGAAUCUGCUGUUAGAGGGUCUAUCAUUCUUUGUCAUUUUUUUCUCUCAGAUACUGCUCUUUUUAGUUUAGUUUUAUUUAUUAAUAUCUUCCUACUGUGGUGCUUAACGUCUCCUUUCCCCCUCCUCCAAGGGUGAGAGGUCUGGUUGAAAGAUCUCUACUAGCUACGCAGUAAUUUUUUUAUAAUUCUUCCUUCCUUCAAAUGUGUCUUUUUGUGACCCAAUCGAACGCUGGCAAUGAAGUUCCUUAUCUCCAUUUGACUUGUGCAUGAAGCCAACACUCAGAAAUCCUACUUCAUCCCUUACCUUUUCUCUUUGUAGCUAACCCAAAAUGUGUUCAGUUUUACUAAAAGCUGAAGCUCUCCACAAACUUCUGAGUAUAGUGUACUCUGGCCGAAAUGGCAGCCACUUUUUCAAUAUUUUUCAUGUUAAUUACAUUUAACUACACUUAGUUUCAUGAAAUUGAAAUUUACAAAAAAGGAGGAAAAAACCAUGGGGUGGGGGUGGGGAAAUGUGGUAAAUUAUAUUUUUAGAGAAAUACCAGAAGUAGUUUUGUUUUAUUUCAAAAAAAAGUAAUUAAAAAUCGUUUAAAUCAUUCAUAACUUCUAUAAAGUUCUUUUCUAGCUUCUGUUUGACAUAAAAAUAACAAGAUAAUGAGUCGUGGGCCCGGGGAACCAGAAAUCUUGGCUGUUGAUCUGGUAUUUGUGGCUCUAUUGCUGAUUGGUAUAGAAGUGAACUUAUGUGACCAUAAAGGUGAAUGCAGUCAAAAUGGUCAGACAUGCAGUCAACUCUAAAGAUGUUGUGAUAGGGGCCGAAAGUCAAGAAAUAAACUUUAGUAGAUUACUGUGUGAUGGAGAAGAAAUUAUGAGAAGAAAUGCACCUGAAGUGGUCUCAGGGAUUUGUUUCACAUUAAAAAAAUAUACUUUAUUUUUUAGAGCAGUUUGAGGUUCACAGCAAAGUGAAAUAGAAAAUACAGAGAUGUCUCACCUACCCCCUACCCCCGCCAUGCACAGUUUCCUCCAUUAUCAUCAUCCCUAGCCAUAGUGAGAAUUUGUUACAAUUAGGGAACCUGCUUUGGCACAUCAUUAUCUCUCAAAGCACACAGUUUACAUUAGGGUUUUCUCUUGGUAUUGUACAUUCUCUGUUUUUUGACAAAUGUAUAAUGUCAUGUGUCUACCGUUAUAGUAUCAUACAGAAUAGUUUCACUGCCCUAAAAAUCUUCUGUAUUCUGCCUAUUCAUCUCUCUUUUUCUUUCCCCAAACCCCUGACAACCAUUGAUCUUUUUACUCUCUCCAUAGUUUUGUCUUCUCCAAAAUGUCAUAUAGUUGGAAUCGUACAGUAGUAGGUAGCAUUUUAGAGCAGCUUCUUUUACUUAGUAAUAAGCAUUUGUGUCAUUCAUGUAUUUUCAUAGUCUGAUGGCUCACAUCUUUUUGGCAUUGAAUGAUAUUUCAUUGUCUAGUUGUACCACAGUCUACUUAUCCAGCCAUCUACUGGAGGACAUCUUGGUUGCUUCCAAGUUAUGGCAAUUAUAAAUAAAGCAGCUAUACGUGUCCAUGUGAAAGUUUUGUGUGGGUGUAGGUUUUCAACUCACUUUGAAAAAUACCAGAGUGUGAUUGCUGGAUUGUAUUUCACUUUUCAGUUCUGUUUGUGAGUGUUAUUUUAAAAAGAUGCUAUAGGAUAUGCUGCCCUGCACAGAAUAGGUAGAUAGGAACCAGGCAAACGGAAUGUUAUCUGAGGCUCAUUCAUGUCAGUGUUCACUCCUGCAAUGCAGAGUAAAAUCUCUAGUAUAUAGUUAUAGUUUACAAUAACUGGAAGUAGGUUUCCAGGAAUAGGACAGGAUUGACAUGGAUUUUUGAUGCUGCUAUUACUCCUCUACAUUUCUAGCAGAAAAGGGGAAAAUUAUGUCUGGCUGGGCACUGGAAUUGCUUUAACAACCUCAUAGUCUUUCUGAGGCUUCAUAAAUUACAAAUAAGCUCUUGAUGGUUUGAUAUCCUGACCUUUGGAAAUGUUAUUUCUUCUAUUAAAAUAUUAAAUAAAACAAUGUUUUAUUUGAUCUA
Molecule: long non-coding RNA, 2793 nt
Organism: Homo sapiens (human)
Lineage: Eukaryota; Metazoa; Chordata; Mammalia; Primates; Hominidae
Gene: HULC
Product: hepatocellular carcinoma up-regulated long non-coding RNA
Source: Ensembl